Molecule: long non-coding RNA, 246 nt
Filed under: Jatropha curcas
Lineage: Eukaryota; Viridiplantae; Streptophyta; Magnoliopsida; Malpighiales; Euphorbiaceae
Description: long non-coding RNA (JCUR_LNC002377)
Source: RNAcentral
UUUUGGUUGCCUUUCCCGUUAUUAUUCUUGGUGUUAUAAAUUAUUAAUCAAUCUUGGAGUUUAUCACUACACUUAUAUCCAACAAGUGGUAUCAGAGCAUUAAUCCCAACACUGUUGAUUAAAGCUUGUGUCGCUGGUGAUGGAAGAAGCUGCUGUGUCGAUCGGAGAGGAAGGAAACGCAGGUGAAGCAGCUCGUCUGUGGUUAUUACGCUCACCAUAAAUAGAGACGAAGGGAGAAAGAGAGAG